UACAGAGGGUGCUAGCGUUGUUCGGAAUUACUGGGCGUAAAGCGCGUGCAGGCGGAUGAAGAAGUCGGGUGUGAAAGCCCUGGGCUCAACCCAGGAAUUGCGCCCGAAACCAUUUAUCUAGAGUAUGGUAGAGGAGCGGGGAACUCCCGGUGUAGAGGUGAAAUUCGUAGAUAUCGGGAGGAACACCAGAGGCGAAAGCGCCGCUCUGGGCCAUCACUGACGCUCAUACGCGAAAGCGUGGGUAGCAAACAGG
This 253-nucleotide unclassified non-coding RNA is filed under the name uncultured Myxococcales bacterium. Its description in RNAcentral is "contains 16S-23S intergenic spacer region". It matches the Rfam family "Bacterial small subunit ribosomal RNA", at positions 524 to 776 of the family's 1533-position model. The record is from RNAcentral. Lineage: Bacteria; Pseudomonadati; Myxococcota; Myxococcia; Myxococcales.